GCACUGCUGAGGAGUGCCACAACAGGACGAAACGGCCGUCCAGUAC
Molecule: non-coding RNA, 46 nt
Filed under: Schistosoma mansoni
Lineage: Eukaryota; Metazoa; Platyhelminthes; Trematoda; Strigeidida; Schistosomatidae
Source: RNAcentral